GAAGGAGGAUGCAAGCGUGAUCCGGAAUUAUUGGGCGUAAAGCGUAUGUAGGUGGCUUGUCAAGUCCUUUGUCAAAGCGUGGAGCUUAACUCCAUAACGGCGAGGGAAACUGGUAGGCUAGAGUACAGUAGGGGUAGGAGGAAUUCCCGUUGUAGCGGCGAAAUGCGUAGAUAUCGGGAAGAACACCAGUGGCGAAAGCGUCCUACCAAGCUGUCACUGACACUGAGGUACGAAAGCUAGGGGAGCGAAUGGG
RNAcentral lists this ribosomal RNA (253 nucleotides) under uncultured bacterium. Its description in RNAcentral is "partial 16S ribosomal RNA". It matches the Rfam family "Bacterial small subunit ribosomal RNA", at positions 524 to 776 of the family's 1533-position model. The record is from RNAcentral.